Molecule: long non-coding RNA, 3249 nt
Organism: Sphaeramia orbicularis (orbiculate cardinalfish)
Lineage: Eukaryota; Metazoa; Chordata; Actinopteri; Kurtiformes; Apogonidae
Exons: 2
Source: RefSeq, a predicted model, not a curated record
GAUAAAAAUGUUGGGAAAUAUGCUGAGAGCACUUAGAACUUUCAAAAUCAAGCAGUGAUUUACAAUUUACUGCACGUUAUAAUACUGCUAAAAUGGCUUCUUCUCCAGCUUCUAGUGAAAUUACCGUAAUGACCCAAUAAAGCCUAUAAAGCGCAACAUCUCAGGUUUCCGAAACAGUUGGAGUUUUUCCAAUCGCACAAACAGUGAAAGAGUUACAUCCAUCCAAACUGUAUAUGCACAGGGUGUGUCAGCGGUGACACGUCAGGUUUUAAAGAGUUAAACAUGCACAUAUCUUCAGACUUGUUAAAAUGAGGUCUUUUCUGAAACUUUUGGAUCUAUUUUUUUGCUAUUUGCUUAUUUCCACAGUCUGAUAGGACAACAAACGACAACUUUAUCAACUUGUAGAAUUAUCUUUUUAUUCACAAACACUAUAUUGUGUAAAUGACAUAAAUCAAAUGGAAGUAAAAACUUACUUGUCUUCCUUGUGAACAUACACAUUUUUUUCCCACAAUCCAAAGGGGCAGGACUUCAGCUCUUAGUACUCAAUAGUAAAAUGCUACUUUACAACAAACCAUGCUUUUAUUUUACUCCUAAAUGUAGCAGAAUGUCAAAAUCAAACAGCGAUAACAGUGUUUUUUUUUAAUAUUACUUAAAAAUGUCACUUUGUUGAAACCAGCCCAGGCUUCUGUUUGACCCUUUUUUUUUUUACUUCCAUGCUUUUAGCUAAAACAUAGCGACUCUGGAGUUGACUUCACAGCAGAUCAUAAGCGUAACAUAUUGAUCUUUAAAUCCCAGUGGUAUUCCUGUAGCUGCUCUAUUCUAUAACAUUGUAAUCUAUCAGGUACCUGCAAAUGCAGCCACGUGCAUGGCACUUUGGGUCACAGCAGGACUGUUUUUUUGCAUCAUUUUUGGCUUUCACCUCGUCUGCCUGUUUUAAAGUCUGUAACUAAGUUGUAGUUGCUAGUGUGCACUUGUUGUCUUAUUAGCGAUCAAUCACGCCAUAACACUAGAGACUACACUACAUAAACUAUUUAUUGGAUUAUUAAUCCAUUCAUGUAGCCAAAACCCAGUGCAUUAUUAUCUGAUGCCCAUUCACUAUGUAUAAAGAUUGUGAUGUUUUAUCCCUGGGGGGGUUUGUGAUGGUGGUGGGUUGUACAAAGGAUCGAUAGACAAUAUAAGUCAGAGUUUAUAUUCCUCAUAAUAUAUACAUAACUCAUAGAUGUCAUGAUUUAGGGAUUCAUUGUAACGAAACAAAUCUGUUAAAAGGCGUUUAUUUCUGUACAGAAGUGGAACCAGAAAAUGCAGACGGUCUGUUUUUGCUCCCCAUCCGUUUUUUUUAAAAAAAAGUAGUCUGUAGGCACCCACGUCGCAAAAACGUAGGUCUCAUUAUCCUUUUAUCAUAUCUAAGAACGGGAUAAGAUGAGACGCAACGGUUCAGCAGUUACAGUUUGAGAUGUUUAUGACAACUGUGGCAGCGGCGUUCAGACUUAAAGAGCUUUGGGAAGUUUUAUAGCAGCUGUCGCAAAACCACAGAUAAGAAAAAAAUAAAAUAAAAUCAAGUUUCAGUGGUGUCCAACCCUGGUCAAGACACUCGUCGCGCAUUUGCCAUUAAAGAAAAAGUGCUGUGUCCAAAUGUCAUAAUAAGGGAAAACGUUUUAUGUCGACUCAUGUUCUUCUCUAGCUUUCUGCGUGUUUCUAAUAUUGUCCUGUUUUUUUUUUUAUUCGGUAUUUUUAUCAGUGUACAGAAGUGAGUAUGAUUAAGGAAUGCAGUAUUGCAUGACAACGCUAAUGCAUGUAUUUCAUUAACUAUGCAAGAGUCUGCAGCUCUGUACAGUAGAAAGCAGAGCAUGGCUGGUAUAUCCGAUUGCCUAAUUUGCACACCAUUCCGAUAUUUAGAAACUGUAAAUUACAGAAUAUUUCAUCUGUACAGUGAAAAGAAUUAAACUUAAAAAUUUAAUUAACUUUUUUUUUUUUUUUAAAUUCCGCCAAUUUUUUUUUUUUUAUUUGUAUUCUCCUGAUACAUGCUCUCUGGGUGCUCCUACUAAACCAGUAGGUUACUUUUUUUUUUUUUUUUUGUUCUUUAAGAUUUCCUGUUGUUCACCAGCAGAGACAACACUCUGGAUGCGAUAAUCUCAACUAAAAUAUCCUCAUAUAUGUAUGUAUUGUGAAAAAAAAAACAAAAAACAGCCUUCCAUUGAGUCAUCGGUCAUAUUUUGUGAUAUGUAUCAGCUGCAUCCACUAAACAUACAAUACACAACAAAGGCAAUAAAAGAUAGUAUUUAUAGUUUUGUAUAACAGUAUCUAAUAAACAGUGACAGUAAGAUUUAAAUAUCGGGUCCAUACGUUUUGUAUUUACGCCACAUCGUUCAUUUCAUUCGUCAUGUGAUCUUUAUGACAUACUGGCAGUUUAUCAAACUUCCACACGGGCUUUAAAGCAGCACGUCUGUUCCGAUGACAAGUGAAGUGGUCAUGAAACACUGAUCCGUCACAAAGGCGUCCUCGGCAGAACAUAAUUAAGAUUAGAGAUUUUUGUCGACCACGUCUCUUCUCAAAGUGAAAGCUGUAAUUAAGUGUUUUGUCUUUAUUGCGAGAUCAAAACUGGAAUGAACCACCUCUGUUCUAAAAACAAAACAGUCGGUUAUUAGCAAGAAAUGGAGCCCCCUUGUAUUAAACGCACAGAAUUAAAGUAAACAUAGUUAGAAAAUCUAUGAAUUUAGGGUAAAUCUCUAAACAACACUACAAAUAAAAUGAAACCAGGAAGCUUUAUGAUGUGUGAAUGUCAUUUCCAACCAACUGGAGGUGUUUUCUUUUAAGACGUUUUUGUGCUAACAUUAAAAAAAAAAAACAAAAAAACAUCUGUCUUCUUUUCUCAUGUUGUGCAAGCACUAAUCAUUUGUAAAUUACAGUAUGUUGCAUUUGAGAAUCUGUCAACUUUGGAUCUUUUCUAUAAUUUGACAUUAGGGCCUGUACUUCUGCGUUCGCCUGUUCACUUUAUCUUUUUUAAGAUGUUAUAUAAUUUUUUUUCAUAUUUCUUGCAAAAUGUUUUGCCAUUUAUGCAGCUCAACACAAGUACAUUAGACUGUGUCAAAGUCUUCUAUGUUAAUUUAUUUCUUUUUUUUUUAAUUUUUAUUAUUAUUAUGUAUGCACUUUUGAUGUUUCUCUUUUAUUUUUCCUAAAGGACAAAUGUGUAUAUACUUUGUUGGUUUACCCAUGCAAAAUGAAAAAUCUGAUUAAAAAUACUGAAACUGU